This is a long non-coding RNA of Brassica napus (rape), 405 nucleotides long. RefSeq lists it as uncharacterized. Lineage: Eukaryota; Viridiplantae; Streptophyta; Magnoliopsida; Brassicales; Brassicaceae. The record is from RefSeq and is a predicted model, not a curated record. The transcript is spliced from 2 exons.
AGCAGUAGUGGUUUUUACCAUUUUCUUUCAAAUUUUGGUUUUGAUUGGACAGUUUUCAUUUUUGAGCUUAACAACACAGCAAGAAAAAAUUUCAUAGGAUUAGUCGACACCGCAGUAUCGCCCUUCUUCACGCAAGCGACGGAGUUUUUAUGUUUUUAUAUCUGAGAAAGACAAGCCAUUCCUGUUUCUUUUGUUCUCAACCCAGGUGAAGCUCAAGGAAGAACUCGAUUUAUAAAAGGAGCAAGGAGGAGAAGAGAAAGACAUCAUCACUACAAGCUUGAGAGCUUCCGACUACUUGUUUAUCAAACUUUGCUUUUCUUUUCGGUUAAGGCUUAAACACUUCAAUAAAACGGAAUCUUAGACCCCUAAAUCUCUUUUAUUAUUGUUUGAACAGUCGUCAAACUA